UGUAAAACGAAAAACACAUCCAUAAGCAAUUGGAAGAUCUGUAAGAGUUUAAGUUAAUUGUGUCCACUACUUGUUUCCAAAUAUUUCCAAUUUCAAAAGCGAAAAACCAUGGACAAAAAUCAGAAAUUGAGCUACGAUAUUGGCGUAGCUAAGGGCCAAGCCCAGGAAAAAGGUAAUCAAUUGUUGGAGAAGGCUGGGACUGCUGUGCAGUCUGCCAAGGAAACAGCGCAAGAGGUGGGGCAGCAAGUGAAGACCAAAACACUAGAAGCAGCAGAUGCCGUUAAAAAUGCCACUGGCAUGAACAAAUAAACCACGUUAAUUUCCACCAUAUUAUAGUUUAUGAAGAUCUUAAUUUAUUCUACUUCAAUUGGGCUACCAAUUUAUGUUGCUUAAGUUUAAAUUAUUGGCAGUGGGAUUUUACUGGGUAUGUUGUAAGUUAAAUUUAAAUUACUGGUGAGAACUUCUGCGUUUCUGAAUUAUAUUUUAGAAGCAGCGUCUGUAAUAAUAUUGUAAUAAUGUUUCGUUCUUAAUUAUAAUUGCAUAUUUCGUAGCA
Long non-coding RNA from Nicotiana tabacum (common tobacco), 553 nucleotides. RefSeq lists it as uncharacterized. The record is from RefSeq and is a predicted model, not a curated record. NCBI's taxonomy places the organism in Eukaryota, Viridiplantae, Streptophyta, Magnoliopsida, Solanales, Solanaceae.